Long non-coding RNA from Pezoporus occidentalis (night parrot), 804 nucleotides. RefSeq lists it as uncharacterized. Lineage: Eukaryota; Metazoa; Chordata; Aves; Psittaciformes; Psittacidae. The transcript is spliced from 3 exons. The record is from RefSeq and is a predicted model, not a curated record.
AUGUUCUCCCAUCUGACACCUGGCUCCAUUACAGUUUGUUGUGUUCCAUGAUGACCAUGAUGUAGAGACUCUACUACAGCUCCCAGCUCCUGCAUCAGCACUAACACCCAUGAGGUAGGCACUGAAACAGAAAGGGAAGAACUGUGUAACUACAAUGGCCAGUUACUCCUUUCACUCUCCAGGAAGAAAUGUCUGGAUUUUGUCAGUGCAACAGCAAUCCAUAGAGUUUUGUUUGCCUCUGAGCCACACUCAGUUGGGGGCUGUAAUAUCUGGAACCAUUUUUGCUAAAAAUGUGAAGACAGGAGCCAAGCUUUGACAUUUGCAGACUGAACUUAAUUAUCAGGAUGCUUUCAUGGUGGCUCUUGGUGGCAUGCUUGAUGCGCCUCCCCAAACCUCCUCCUCAUAACAGCCACCAGAACUGUGGGUCAUUCCAGAAGCCCUAGGCUGUGAUGUGGAGCCAACACUUGCCCAAGGUGAGUCACAAAAGCUCCUUCCACAGCACGUUUGCCAGCUGGCAACCAGUUGUGCAAGUGCAAUAGGGGACAUGAGCAAACUGGAGAGUCUGCCAUAGUGUGGGGUCACAAGAAUCUCCUCCCCACCUUGUGGAGUGGUACACAGGGGGCUGCAUCUCCAGCCUCAGCUGUAGCAGCCGCACAUAGGGGUUUGCUGCUCAGCCCAAGGUGAUCUGAGCACAGUAACCUGGAGGGCUUGUGCAGGACUGUUUGGCAGUUCAGUACUUCUGCACAGCUUGCUCUGAAGUAGCUAAUAGAGCUGGCUCCUGUUUCGGACAUGCUUUGGACAAGA